AUCCAGCUGACGAGUCCCAAAUAGGACGAAACGUUAGUCAAACUGGAU
This is a non-coding RNA of Schistosoma mansoni, 48 nucleotides long. Lineage: Eukaryota; Metazoa; Platyhelminthes; Trematoda; Strigeidida; Schistosomatidae. The record is from Rfam.